GAAGGGUGCAAGCGUUACUCGGAAUUACUGGGCGUAAAGCGUGCGUAGGUGGUUCGUUAAGUCUGUCGUGAAAGCCCCGGGCUCAACCUGGGAAUGGCGAUGGAUACUGGCGGGCUAGAGUGCGGUAGAGGAGAGUGGAAUUCCCGGUGUAGCAGUGAAAUGCGUAGAGAUCGGGAGGAACAUCAGUUGCGAAGGCGGCUCUCUGGACCAGCACUGACACUGAGGCACGAAAGCGUGGGGAGCAAACAGGAUUAGAUACCCUGGUAGUCCACGCCCUAAACGAUGCGAACUGGACGUUGGGAGCAACUAGGCUCUCAGUGUSGAAGCUAACGCGUUAAGUUCGCCGCCUGGGGAGUACGGUCGCAAGACUG
This 371-nucleotide ribosomal RNA is filed under the name uncultured bacterium. RNAcentral describes it as "bacterial SSU rRNA". It matches the Rfam family "Bacterial small subunit ribosomal RNA", at positions 527 to 896 of the family's 1533-position model. The record is from RNAcentral.